AUCCAGCUGACGAGUCCCAAAUAGAACUAAACGUGAGUCAAACUGGAU
Molecule: non-coding RNA, 48 nt
Organism: Schistosoma haematobium
Lineage: Eukaryota; Metazoa; Platyhelminthes; Trematoda; Strigeidida; Schistosomatidae
Source: Rfam